UACGAAGGGGGCUAGCGUUGUUCGGAAUUACUGGGCGUAAAGCGCACGUAGGCGGAUAUUUAAGUCAGGGGUGAAAUCCCGGAGCUCAACUCCAGAACUGCCUCGAUACUGGGAGCUCGAAGUCCGGGAGAGGUGAGUGGAACUGCGAGUGUAGAGGUGAAAUUCGUAGAAUAUUCGCAAGAACACCAGUGGCGAAGGCG
RNAcentral lists this ribosomal RNA (200 nucleotides) under uncultured bacterium. RNAcentral describes it as "partial 16S ribosomal RNA". It matches the Rfam family "Bacterial small subunit ribosomal RNA", at positions 524 to 723 of the family's 1533-position model. The record is from RNAcentral.